GAGAUAUUAGUAAAAUAUGAAUUACACCACCUUGUCAAGGUGGAAUUGUGGGUUAAACCCCCACAUGUCUUA
RNAcentral lists this transfer RNA (72 nucleotides) under Onychostoma barbatulum. RNAcentral describes it as "tRNA-Asp". It matches the Rfam family "tRNA". From Rfam's summary of the family: Transfer RNA (tRNA) molecules are approximately 80 nucleotides in length. Their secondary structure includes four short double-helical elements and three loops (D, anti-codon, and T loops). Further hydrogen bonds mediate the characteristic L-shaped molecular structure. tRNAs have two regions of fundamental functional importance: the anti-codon, which is responsible for specific mRNA codon recognition, and the 3' end, to which the tRNAs corresponding amino acid is attached (by aminoacyl-tRNA synthetases). tRNAs cope with the degeneracy of the genetic code in two manners: having more than one tRNA (with a specific anti-codon) for a particular amino acid; and 'wobble' base-pairing, i.e. permitting non-standard base-pairing at the 3rd anti-codon position. Lineage: Eukaryota; Metazoa; Chordata; Actinopteri; Cypriniformes; Cyprinidae. The record is from RNAcentral.